Molecule: ribosomal RNA, 1254 nt
Filed under: Staphylococcus aureus
Lineage: Bacteria; Bacillati; Bacillota; Bacilli; Caryophanales; Staphylococcaceae
Description: bacterial SSU rRNA
Rfam family: Bacterial small subunit ribosomal RNA
Source: RNAcentral
UUUAUGGAGAGUUUGAUCCUGGCUCAGGAUGAACGCUGGCGGCGUGCCUAAUACAUGCAAGUCGAGCGAACGGACGAGAAGCUUGCUUCUCUGAUGUUAGCGGCGGACGGGUGAGUAACACGUGGAUAACCUACCUAUAAGACUGGGAUAACUUCGGGAAACCGGAGCUAAUACCGGAUGAUAUUUUGAACCGCAUGGUUCAAAAGUGAAAGACGGUCUUGCUGUCACUUAUAGAUGGAUCCGCGCUGCAUUAGCUAGUUGGUAAGGUAACGGCUUACCAAGGCAACGAUGCAUAGCCGACCUGAGAGGGUGAUCGGCCACACUGGAACUGAGACACGGUCCAGACUCCUACGGGAGGCAGCAGUAGGGAAUCUUCCGCAAUGGGCGAAAGCCUGACGGAGCAACGCCGCGUGAGUGAUGAAGGUCUUCGGAUCGUAAAACUCUGUUAUUAGGGAAGAACAUAUGUGUAAGUAACUGUGCACAUCUUGACGGUACCUAAUCAGAAAGCCACGGCUAACUACGUGCCAGCAGCCGCGGUAAUACGUAGGUGGCAAGCGUUAUCCGGAAUUAUUGGGCGUAAAGCGCGCGUAGGCGGUUUUUUAAGUCUGAUGUGAAAGCCCACGGCUCAACCGUGGAGGGUCAUUGGAAACUGGAAAACUUGAGUGCAGAAGAGGAAAGUGGAAUUCCAUGUGUAGCGGUGAAAUGCGCAGAGAUAUGGAGGAACACCAGUGGCGAAGGCGACUUUCUGGUCUGUAACUGACGCUGAUGUGCGAAAGCGUGGGGAUCAAACAGGAUUAGAUACCCUGGUAGUCCACGCCGUAAACGAUGAGUGCUAAGUGUUAGGGGGUUUCCGCCCCUUAGUGCUGCAGCUAACGCAUUAAGCACUCCGCCUGGGGAGUACGACCGCAAGGUUGAAACUCAAAGGAAUUGACGGGGACCCGCACAAGCGGUGGAGCAUGUGGUUUAAUUCGAAGCAACGCGAAGAACCUUACCAAAUCUUGACAUCCUUUGACAACUCUAGAGAUAGAGCCUUCCCCUUCGGGGGACAAAGUGACAGGUGGUGCAUGGUUGUCGUCAGCUCGUGUCGUGAGAUGUUGGGUUAAGUCCCGCAACGAGCGCAACCCUUAAGCUUAGUUGCCAUCAUUAAGUUGGGCACUCUAAGUUGACUGCCGGUGACAAACCGGAGGAAGGUGGGGAUGACGUCAAAUCAUCAUGCCCCUUAUGAUUUGGGCUACACACGUGCUACAAUGGACA